This 395-nucleotide ribosomal RNA is filed under the name uncultured bacterium. RNAcentral describes it as "partial 16S ribosomal RNA". It matches the Rfam family "Bacterial small subunit ribosomal RNA", at positions 523 to 918 of the family's 1533-position model. The record is from RNAcentral.
AUACGUAGGGUGCAAGCGUUAAUCGGAAUUACUAGGCGUAAAGCGUGCGCAGGCGGUUUUGUAAGACAGAGGUGAAAUCCCCGGGCUCAACCUGGGAACUGCCUUUGAGACUGCCAGGCUAGAGUUCGGCAGCGGGGGUUGGAAUUCCGGGUGUAGCAGUGAAAUGCGUAGAUAUGCGGAGGAACACCGAUGGCGAAGGCAAUCCCCUGGGCCUGUACUGACGCUCAUGCACGAAAGCGUGGGGAGCAAACAGGAUUAGAUACCCUGGUAGUCCACGCCCUAAACGAUGUCAACUGGUUGUUGGGUCUUCAGUGACUCAGUAACGAAGCUAACGCGUGAAGUUGACCGCCUGGGGAGUACGGCCGCAAGGUUGAAACUCAAAUGAAUUGACGGGG